CGGGGUGUAGCGCAGUUCGGUAGCGCACUUGCUUCGGGAGCAAGGGGCCGGAGGUUCAAAUCCUCUCACUCCGACCA
RNAcentral lists this transfer RNA (77 nucleotides) under Bacillota bacterium. Its description in RNAcentral is "tRNA-Pro". It matches the Rfam family "tRNA". Rfam says of the family: Transfer RNA (tRNA) molecules are approximately 80 nucleotides in length. Lineage: Bacteria; Bacillati; Bacillota. The record is from RNAcentral. RNAcentral also lists the same sequence under 2 other names.